RNAcentral lists this long non-coding RNA (4510 nucleotides) under Sus scrofa (pig). RNAcentral describes it as "lncRNA (ENSSSCG00025072824.1, ENSSSCG00045033867.1)". The record is from RNAcentral. Lineage: Eukaryota; Metazoa; Chordata; Mammalia; Artiodactyla; Suidae.
AUUUAGGGCCACACCUGCAGCGUAUGGAAGCUCCCAGGCUAGGGGUUGAAUCAGAGUUGGAGCUGCUGGGCUAUGCCACAGCCACAACAACGUGAGACCCAAGCUGCAUCGUCAGCCUACACCACAGCUCUCAGUAACGCUGGAUCCUUACCUCACUGAGCAAGGCCAGGGAUCGAACCUGUGUCCUCAUGGAUACUAGUUGGAUUCCUUUCUGCUACGCCACAACGGGAACUCCCAGCCCCCAAAUUCUCUAUCUGUGUUGAGCCUCGUCUUUGCCCCAGUCUGAGAGGCGUGUUUCUUUGCCUUGGCUACUAGAAUUGUGAAUAAGAGAACCCCUGGUUUACCAUUUAUCUGCUGAUUCUUCAUUUGUGCCCUUAAGGAAAUACAGGAGUGCAGGUUCGUGGAUAGGUAUUAGCCUUGUGAAAUCAGAAUCUCCGGAGGCAAGGCCCCGCACUUACGUUUAUGAGCCACUGGCUGAUUUUUACACACACUUCAGUUUCAGAAAAUUAAUAGUCUCCAGAUAACCUGGCUCAGAAUGUCGAGAACAGGGCCUAGAGAUGUUUAUGUAGCACAUUCCCAGGUACUGUCUUAGGUAUUUUGACUGACUGAGAAUUCUUAUGGGCUUAUUCAAACAUUUCGAUGUCUCCUUUGCUAGGAGCCUAGCGGUUGAGAGAGUAGACAAGGCCCUUGCCUUCUGGGAGCUUAGCACCGCCAGCGAGUUAAAUACAAAGAUGAUAAUCCUGGGAGUUCCCAUCAUGACUCAGCGUUAACGAACCCGAUGAGCAUCCAUGAGAACAUGUGUUCAAUCCCUGACCUUGCUCAGUGGGCUAAAGAUCCGCUGGCGGCGUUGCUGUGAGCUGUGAUGUAGGUCACAGACUCGGGUCGGAUCCUGCAUUGCAGUGGCUGUGGUGUAGGCCAGCAGCUCCAGCUCCGAUUGGACCCCUAGCCUGGGAACCUCCAUGUAUGGUGGGUGCAGCCCUAAAAAGACAAACAAAAACAAAAACCAAAGAAGACGAUAAUCCAGAAGGAUGGUGCCAUCAUAAAUAAGCACAAUGAGCACCAUUUGCAGGGCUCGUAGUAAUUGUCUUUUGAGAAGAAAAUAAUAAAGAACUAAAAACCUUCGUAGAAAGUGUCAGCCCACAGAAUGCUGUAUAUGCUUAAGGGCAUUUACAAGGUGACUGCUUCCAAAAUUUCAAGGAAAUUAUGUCCUUGGAAAAAAAGUCCAAGGAUUUUUUGUCUAAGGAACGUCCUCAUCCAUCAGUUCAGAGGUGCCUGGCUAUUUGAAACUGACAUGUAUAAACAGAUAGCGGAUCUAUAAGAACUACAGUGAACGCUGGCAAACCAAAAAAGGAAAGGCAGUUGUUGGCAGAGAGGAAAUAAGGCAACUCCACACAUUGUUUAUGGUUAUGGUAUAGAGUUUGCUUUUGAGUACCUGAAAUUUUAUAGCAGUAAGAUAAAGAUGUUUUCCCUUAGAAUUGAACCAAGUCCGUCUAAGGAAAUGCUUUAGGUAUAAGCCUGUCUCUUACUCUUAAAUACUCAAAUAUUUGUCAUCUCCAGGAACCAGACCUGUAGUUGAGAUUAAGCCUCAGAUUUUCACUCUUCUUUCAUUUGAAUUUCUUUAUACUGCAGUAGUAACAUUUAUUUAACCAUUUGAUAUCCCCACCCAGCUGGAAGGACAUCAGCCUUGUUUUAUUUCAUUUUUGUGAGAUCCUCAGCAACUGUGGUUGAAUUGUCAAAGGGUUUUCAUAAAAGGCUAGAAGAAAAAUUUUGAAAUGUUAACAGUUGCCUUUACAUGAGGAGAAAAUGAAUAAUUGUUUACAUCCUUCGCUUUGGCAUUUUCUAAAUGAUGUGCCAUUACUACAGAUUUCUUUGAAAUUGAUAAAAAAAAAAACUUGAGAACAAAUGCUUUCAUAUCUGAUGUCCGGUUUCACCCUCGGUAUGCCUCAUGAGUCAGUCAGGUGGGGUUAUUCAUAGCCCCAAUUUGGAGGCGAGGAGGCUGAGGAUUAGAGGAGCGAGCUAACUUUGGGGUUGAGCCGCUGCUGUAAUGAUAGAGUUCAGACCACAAUCUAAACCAUUGACUUCUGACCCAGGAUUUUAUAGUUGGACCUCACUAGGCUCCCUGUUGAUACAUGCCUCUAUGUACAACUAAUGAGGCCAGUUCGGGAUGAUAGUCAAAAUAUUUAGCAACCGGUGCAGUAAGAGUACCAGCCAGCCAGGCUUGGAGCUGCCCAGUGAGGACAGACAGAAGCCGAGCAGGCGCCCACCAGCUGGAAGUAGACUGGCCUGCACUUGACGAAACUUCCUGAAUGAUGCUUUAGACAUCUCUCUCUCUCUCUUUUUAAUAACUGCAUGAUUAAAAAUAAUGUGCAUAAGGCUUGGGCACAAUAAGCAGUAACCAUGAGAAACGGCACACAGAGUCUUCCUUGGUCCAGCUCCUUGCAGAUUGCAAGCUUGCCUGAGGCCUGUCUGUCUGGGCCAAGGGGCAUGGCAGUUUCUCAAAUGGAGCAACGCAGUGUGGGUGAGAGGGUCAGGAUAAUUUACUUUGCCAAAACACGAGUUUUGCUUGCAAUUUAUAAUCUAGAGGUUGUCUCCCACUCUCUUCAGUGGGCUGACAGAUCUACGUGAAGGGAAUUUAAUUUAAAAAAUACUGUGUUUCUAACACCUUGAUCUGAGUUAUAAUUCAUGGCUUACCAAAAUUUGUAAGGGGGGCACCCCUUUGGAAGAGGAUCAACUGCAAGAAUUCACAGCUCAUCCUGAAAAUUUUCAAUGAUUUAUUGUCAAAAUCUGAAUGUGCAUGUGUCAUGUACCUUCCCCUCUAUCCCACCCCCCACCAAAAGCCAGAACUGUCAGGGUCCCCUUAUUCUAAUGUCACUGUGUAGGGCCAAAAUAAGGGAGGCAAUUUCAUACCCAUUGGUAAAUGGGUAUGAAAACCGUGGCUCUAAGCUGGCAGGAAACAUUGCCAGUCUCAGUAAUGGAAAUCAUUUCGGACAGUCAAAUAAUUGACUGUAUACAGUGUAAAAAUGCUCCCCAACUAUCUGCAGAUUUCAUCAAAAGACCAAAUGUUUUUCUACUUAAGACCAAGAACAUGGCAGGAAAGGAAAUUAGAGGAAGGAAGCAUCCAUCCCCCUUUCAGCCUCUGUAAUUUCUAUAAAGAUUUGCACUUUGAUUAUGCUUAGUAGCACCAUAUGCUGGAGUGGGACUCAAGAUCAAAGCUUCCAGCCACAGCACUGGAGCCUUGCUGUGGGCAGGAUCAAACAUUUCUGUGGCUAGAAUGCUAAUGGAUCUGUAAGGACACUCCUCCAGCUUCCAUGCAUCCCUAUUUAAUUUCCAAAAUAUAAUUGCUAUACCUCAAACUUAAAUGCUUUUAGCAUCUUUUUCAUUUCUGGUUUCUACGUUGUUGGUUUAAAAAAGAAAAAGUGGUUGUUACCAAUUAAAGAUGUUUAGAACUAAAGAAUCUUCAAAAGCUUAAUGUAAGUCGUCAAGUUUGAUAGUGUGUAUGACUUUAAAAGUUUGGGAAGUGAGGGAAUGGCUGAACACUGCUUUGGUUGAUGAAAUAACAGAUUUUUUUUUUCAUUCUACUUUGCAAUCAAAAUUUUCUUUAGGGAACAUGUGUUUUUGCAGUUAAAAAGUCUUCUGUACAAACAUGCAUGAUACUGGGAGUCUUUGGUGGCCUAAUGGUUAAGGAUUCAACGUUGUCACUGCUGUGGAGCAUUGUCACUGCUGUCGCUUGGGUUCAGUCCCUGGCCCUAGAACUUCUGUGUCGUGGGCGCAAUCAAAAAAUUUAAGAAGAAGACCUAAUACCAUCUUCACUCUUGCUUUCUCCAUUGCCCUGCCAUGUCCUCCUUACCUUGUUACAAGUGGCUUUCCUUAUAAACCUUUUUAAAAAAAACGGAGUCUUGAUCGUGGAAAUAAUUAUGGAUACAGUCAAACAAUUUACUGUAUGCAUUGUAAACACCCCCGACAGCAGUGGCAGGUGUCAUCAGAAAGUCAAGUCAAAUGUUUGUCGUAAACUGCCUAUAUGAUAUGUUUUGGGUGAUUAGAAGAUGGUGGGUCUCUGACCUUGAACCAUGGUAUAGUCUCUUGGAUCAGGUUCUCUCUGAUCUGGUUUGUUUUCUCAUCUAUAAAAAGAACAGAUCAUGCUUGCCCAAUGUAUGAGUUUGGAGAAGUAUAUGUGAAAGUGCUUACAAGCUACAAAAGUGUUAAGACAGUAGAUUGUUGCUAACAUUUUAACUUCAUGUGUGCCUUCUCAGUGAGACUCUGAGGCCUUCCAGGGCAAGACCAAGACCUUUUGUAGAAAAAUUAUUUUAUUGGAGUUCCUGUCAUGGCUCAACGGGUUAAGACUCUGACUAGUAUCCAUGAGGGUUCGGGUUCGAUUCCUGGCCUCAUUCAGUGGGUAGAGGAUCCAGUGUUGCCAUAAGCUGCAUGUGCCAUAAGCAGCUCGGAUCCCAUGUUGCCGUGGCUGUGGGUAGGUCGGCAGUUGCAGCUCUGAUUCGACCCUGAGCCUGGUCGC